This 783-nucleotide ribosomal RNA is filed under the name uncultured bacterium. RNAcentral describes it as "bacterial SSU rRNA". It matches the Rfam family "Bacterial small subunit ribosomal RNA", at positions 8 to 783 of the family's 1533-position model. The record is from RNAcentral.
AGAGUUUGAUCCUGGCUCAGGAUGAACGCUGGCGGCGUGCUUAACACAUGCAAGUCGAACGAAGCACUUUAUUUGAUUUCCUUCGGGACUGAUUAUUUUGUGACUGAGUGGCGGACGGGUGAGUAACGCGUGGGUAACCUGCCUUGUACAGGGGGAUAACAGUUGGAAACGGCUGCUAAUACCGCAUAAGCGCACAGCAUCGCAUGAUGCAGUGUGAAAAACUCCGGUGGUAUAAGAUGGACCCGCGUUGGAUUAGCUAGUUGGUGAGGUAACGGCCCACCAAGGCGACGAUCCAUAGCCGACCUGAGAGGGUGACCGGCCACAUUGGGACUGAGACACGGCCCAAACUCCUACGGGAGGCAGCAGUGGGGAAUAUUGCACAAUGGACGAAAGCCUGAUGCAGCGACGCCGCGUGAGCGAAGAAGUAUUUCGGUAUGUAAAGCUCUAUCAGCAGGGAAGAUAAUGACGGUACCUGACUAAGAAAGCACCCGGCUAAAUACGUGCCAGCAGCCGCGGUAAUACGUAUGGUGCAAAGCGUUAUCCGGAUUUACUGGGUGUAAAGGGGAGCGCAGGCGGGUGCGGCAAGUCUGAUGUGAAAGCCCGGGGCUCAACCCCGGUACUGCAUUUGGAAACUGUCGUACUAGAGUGUCGGAGGGGUAAGCGGAAUUCCUAGUGUAGCGGUGAAAUGCGUAGAUAUUAGGAGGAACACCAGUGGCGAAGGCGGCUUACUGGACGAUAACUGACGCUGAGGCUCGAAAGCGUGGGGAGCAAACAGGAUUAGAU